AGCGAACGCUAGCGGCGAGCCUAACACAUGCAAGUCGAGCGCGUGACUUCGGUCACGAGCGGCGGACGGGUGAGUAACACGUAGGUCAUCUACCCUCGGGUGGGGGAUAACUUGGGGAAACCCGAGCUAAUACCGCACGAGGCCUUCGGGUCAAAGCCCUCACGGGCGCCUGGGGAUGAGCCUGCGGUGCAUUACCUAGUUGGCGGGGUAACGGCCCACCAAGGGGACGAUGCAUAGCUGGUCUGAGAGGAUGAUCAGCCACACUGGGACUGAGACACGGCCCAGACUCCUACGGGAGGCAGCAGUGGGGAAUAUUGCGCAAUGGGGGAAACCCUGACGCAGCUACGCCGCGUGGGUGAUGAAGGCCUUCGGGUUGUAAAGCCCUGUCGGGAGGGACGAAUUCUUGACGGUACCUCCCAAGAAAGCACCGGCUAACCCUGUGCCAGCAGCCGCGGUAAUACAGGGGGUGCGAGCGUUGCUCGGAAUUACUGGGCGUAAAGCGUACGCAGGCUGUCUUGCAAGUCGGGUGUGAAAGCCCGGGGCUCAACCCCGGAAAUGCGCCCGAGACUGCCGGACUUGAAUGCGGGAGAGGAAAGCGGAAUUCCCGGUGUAGAGGUGAAAUUC
This 624-nucleotide ribosomal RNA is filed under the name uncultured bacterium. Its description in RNAcentral is "bacterial SSU rRNA". It matches the Rfam family "Bacterial small subunit ribosomal RNA", at positions 28 to 689 of the family's 1533-position model. The record is from RNAcentral.